GAAUAUUGCGCAAUGGGCGAAAGCCUGACGCAGCCACGCCGCGUGAGCGAUGAAGGCCUUCGGGUCGUAAAGCUCUGUGGAGGGAGAAGAAUCAAGCCGGUGAAGAGCCGGCCCUGACGGUAUCCCUUUAGCCAGCCACUGCUAACUCCGUGCCAGCGGCCGCGGUAAUACGGAGGGUGCGAACGUUGCUCGGAAUCAUUGGGCGUAAAGCGCGCGUAGGCGGCUUUGCAAGUUGGAUGUGAAAGCCCAGGGCUCAACCCUGGAAGUGCAUCCAAAACUGCAUGGCUUGAAUCCCGGAGGGGGCCAGAGAAUUCCCGGUGUAGAGGUGAAAUUCGUAGAUAUCGGGAGGAAUACCAGUGGCGAAGGCGCUGGCCUGGACGGUGAUUGACGCUGAGGUGCGAAAGCGUGGGGAGCAAACAGG
This 421-nucleotide ribosomal RNA is filed under the name uncultured bacterium. Its description in RNAcentral is "bacterial SSU rRNA". It matches the Rfam family "Bacterial small subunit ribosomal RNA", at positions 359 to 776 of the family's 1533-position model. The record is from RNAcentral.